Molecule: non-coding RNA, 1519 nt
Organism: Xyrichtys novacula (pearly razorfish)
Lineage: Eukaryota; Metazoa; Chordata; Actinopteri; Labriformes; Labridae
Source: the annotation of a GenBank genome assembly
GUUCAAUGACUUUCUAAGUUCACUGAACAAAAAUAUAAAUGCAACACUUUAGUUUUUACUCCCAUUUUCCACGAGAUGAACUGAAAGAUCUUGGACUUUUUCUCUGUAAACAAAAGACCUAUUGCUCUCAAAUAUUGUUGAAAAAUUUGUCUAAAUCUGUAUUAGUGAACACCUCUCCUUCGCUGAGAUAAUCCAUCCACCUCACAGGUGUGGCAUAUCAAGAUGCUGAUUGGACAGCAUGAUUAUUGCACAGGUGUGUCUGAGACUGGCCACUAUAAAGUUUAUCUGGAAAUUUAUCCCCAACUACUCCUCAUUCAGAGGUCAGAUCUGCUUACAGCCAUGAUGAACCUCUGAAUUGAACAGCUUUUUACAUCCAUUUACACCCUGAUGAACAGAGCAGAGGUCCCUUCUUUCAUUUGAUUAAAUCAUAACCCGCUGAGCUCAUUAGAUGUGAUUUACAUUUAGAGAUUUUUUUUCCCUGCUCUGUACUUCCUGAACUCUCUCAGCAUGAGAUCUGUAAUCGCACAAUUCUGAUGACCCGAUAUUUCCUAACCCGCAGAAAUCCCCGCUCACAAAGUCGUGUCCGGCCAUCAAAGCUUGGAAAUAGCACCAUGCUGCUUCAAGAUCUACUCUCAUGUAUUCAGUGUAGCUGGUUAAUUAUGGGGGUGAAAGCAGAUCAAAGGUUCCUGGUAGGUUCACUCAUUAUUAUGAACCAUAUCUGACACCAAAUUAGAGUCAAUCAGAGAAGGAACACUUUGGUCAUUUCUUUUAUUAAUAUUUUUAUUAUUAUUUCAUUAUUAUUUACUUAAGUAAUGAUUGGGCAGCUGUUGUGUCCGUGGAGAAAUCUGGAGGAUUUGGCUGUUUUAGGUUAGUUUUAUAUUAGAAAGCUUUGGAUUUAAUCAUGAGGAAUGAAAAAACUGGAGACACUAUCAAUCAUCAGCCUCCGUUUUUCUCCUGUGUCAAAUUACCCCUGUACCAUCUCACCAUCCUAACUGCAAUUUGAUAGAAAGUACCACACCUUAUCACCCCAGCUGUCAGGGGAAUGACGAACCUGCAGAUUAUCAUGUUAGAGCGGCGUUAGCUAAUGAAGUUUUACAAUUGAAUAUGAAAAAGCUUCUGCACAGCCUGCCGUGCCAAAAGCAUGUAAAACAUACAGAGCAGCAAUGUGUUUGAAUAUUAACACCCCAGAUUGUCGGUGUACCCAUUUGUUCACAGUUUUUUUUAUUUUUUAUUUUAUCCUGAUGAAGAAAGGAUUGAUUUAGAGCUUAUUUUACAUUUUACUUUGCAGUUGUUCUCCUAAAGGCUCCUCAAUAUGAAUCAGAUUCAUGGUGUAAAUUAGAAGUGCCUGCCUCAUCUAAAGCAUCUUCUAUAUAAUCCCGGUGUACUUGAGCUGUCAGCAGGAUGGAAAUGGAAAACACACUGUGUUCACAGCUGGAGACUGACAAUUUCUACCUUUUAGUGUUGAGUGAAACAUAGAAAACCAAGUGAAAAAAACUGGGUAAUUUUUCAGCUACUCCUC